This 2187-nucleotide unclassified non-coding RNA is filed under the name Zea mays. RNAcentral's name for it is "misc RNA Zm00001eb108080". The record is from RNAcentral. Lineage: Eukaryota; Viridiplantae; Streptophyta; Magnoliopsida; Poales; Poaceae.
UCCGAUCCUUCACAACUUCCUGGUGCUCUCGAGCCUGGUGUAGCCGAGGAUGCAGUUGGCGUAGGCCACGUUCCGGAGCGCCUUGCCGCGCCACUUGGCGACGCCGGAGCGGAGCGCCUUGAGCAGGCAGUCCGCCGUCCUGAGCACGCCCCUGACGCCCAUGGGCAGCGACAGGUAGGGCGCGUUGAAGAGGUGGUACUCGAGGGACGCCGCGGCGGCCUGCUGCUGCUGCUGCUGCUGCUGGCGCGGCGAGGAGGCCACGAGCAUCCGGACGACCUGGCGCGCGAAGCCGGCGCCCAGGGAGUGGCCGCAGACGCAGACGUUCUCGGAGCCGAAGCGGUCGACGGUGGCGCUGAGCGCCUGCGCGGCGCGCGCGAGCCGCGCGGAGCCGCGGAGGCUGUCCCGGGCCAGCAGGCGGAGCCGGUCCUCGACGUCGCGGCGGAUGGUGGGGGCGCGCAGCAGCGCGCCGCGGAACGCGACGACGGCGCUGGGCGCGCCGCUCGGGGUCGGGGUCGGGCUGGCUUGGUGGUCGCGCUCGAAGACGGCGCCGAACACGGAGCCGUCGCGGUCGUCCACCAGCUCGUGCGCCAGGCGGAACUGGAACGGCUCCCACCACUGCUGCGCCACCGCCGCCGCGUCGCGCCGCUCCUGCCGCUCCAGCUCCAGCAGGUACACCGCCUCGAUCAGGUACGCCAUCACCAUCCGCCUGUAGUCGUCGUCCCUCCAGCUCGUGUUGGUGAGCUCUGUCCAUGUAGUAGUAGUAGUAGCAGUCGUCGGGCAGGCCGGGGAGCUCGCUUGCUGCGCCAUUGCCGUUGGUGUGUCGUAGGGAAUGCGUGGCGGGGGAUGCGGGCAAUAUAUACCCCGACCCCGACUCCCCCAGGCCUCACGCCGGAGGGUAGCAGGGGGUGUACAGGAUGACGCCGAAUUUGCUUAGCUAGUGCCUAGUGGAGCAAAGCCCCCGUGGCCUUUUUUUUAAUUGCCGGGAAUAAAUAAAAGGGCAGAACAAAGCGCGAUCGUCCGGGGGCCGUCCCCUCCUUUGUUCUCAGUUGGACUGAAUCGACUGGAUCGGACCGCACACGAGAUCUCGAUCGGUCGGCAUCUGGCGCGGGUGGAUGGCAGCCAACGCGAGCAAUAGUUGCCGCCAGGCUGCAAAGGCGGGAGGGCGAGGCACGACGGACGAUAAUGCGCUUUUGGGCAGGGAGCAUAUAUUCGGCCUGGCACCGUACUAAGGCGUGCACCGUACCAAGGACGGACGAUGGUGAAGGAACGAAUCAUUUCGCGUGGGCGUCGUAUGACAGGUAGGUCAGGUCAGGCUGCGGGGACAGACAGCAUGGAUCUCUAAUGUUGUAUAUCCAUCUGCCUGACGCCUGCGGGGUGCCGGCUAGCUAGCUGCGGCCUGGCAUGGUUGCUCCGCCUGUUGCCGUGGUUGGUGUCGUCACGCAACGGCGAUCGACGGGUAUCGGUGAGCCGGUACCGAGAUAUUUCCGACCUGGCGCUGCCGGUGAGAAUCGCGGGGUAAGCUACCGCGCCAAUAUCAGGUAUUCAGGUUUUGCACCACCCCUGCAACCAUCUCCAGUAGGCGACGUAAACGGACGUGCAAAGUGUUGAAAUAUUAGAUAUUUUUUAGAUUAAAUUCUAAAUAUAAAUCAUGACCAAAUCAGAAGAGCUGAAGUAUAAAGUUAAAUUAGAUGAUACGUACUGAUCAGACAUAUUGGAAGAUGACGCGGACCGAAAGCAGCAGGGUCGACGACGUCGAAACAGCGGGGCCGAUGACGUCGAAGGAGCAGGGUUCGACGACAAGAUCGCGAGCAGUCGCGUGAGGACGCUUUCUAAAAACCUUAUUCGCCCUCUAUCGGUGCAGGAUCUCGAAGGCGAAGGGUUCCGGAGACCUGCUCUCCCGAGCGCAGAUGCACGUCGGCGGUCGGGAUGAAGAGAACUACGAUGACAACGUAGUUGUGAGCAGAGACGAAAUUUUGGAUGAAUUCCUUAUAGCGAUCGGUUAGGAUUCUAAACUUAACAGCCAAGCAACCAAAAAAUAAAACGGCAAAAGGAAGACACGCCCCCGCAAGACGAGGGGCCAGAUUUCGGCAGACCAUUCACGUACAUGUCGUGCGCCCGCGCCUUUGGCCCGACCAAGCAAGCGAGCGCGCGCUCCUCUCAUCCAUGACUUGGUGAGUGAGUGUAGCC